GACGAACGCUGGCGGCGUGCCUAAUACAUGCAAGUAGAACGCUGAAGGAGGAGCUUGCUCUUCUGGAUGAGUUGCGAACGGGUGAGUAACGCGUAGGUAACCUGCCUGGUAGCGGGGGAUAACUAUUGGAAACGAUAGCUAAUACCGCAUAACAACAGUUGUUGCAUGACAGCUGUUUAAAAGAUGCAAUUGCAUCACUACCAGAUGGACCUGCGUUGUAUUAGCUAGUUGGUGAGGUAACGGCUCACCAAGGCAACGAUACAUAGCCGACCUGAGAGGGUGAUCGGCCACACUGGGACUGAGACACGGCCCAGACUCCUACGGGAGGCAGCAGUAGGGAAUCUUCGGCAAUGGACGGAAGUCUGACCGAGCAACGCCGCGUGAGUGAAGAAGGUUUUCGGAUCGUAAAGCUCUGUUGUAAGAGAAGAACGAGUGUGAGAGUGGAAAGUCACAC
Molecule: ribosomal RNA, 454 nt
Filed under: Streptococcus sp. oral taxon 064
Lineage: Bacteria; Bacillati; Bacillota; Bacilli; Lactobacillales; Streptococcaceae
Description: bacterial SSU rRNA
Rfam family: Bacterial small subunit ribosomal RNA
Source: RNAcentral